This 1530-nucleotide ribosomal RNA is filed under the name metagenome. RNAcentral's name for it is "bacterial LSU rRNA". It matches the Rfam family "Bacterial large subunit ribosomal RNA", at positions 1270 to 2911 of the family's 2925-position model. The record is from RNAcentral.
GCUCUGGAGCGUUCAGAAAAGAAAAUGUAGGCAUAAGUAACGAUUAAGGAAGUGAAAAACUUCCUCGCCAAAAGACCAAGGGUUCCUGAUCAAUGUUAGUCAGAUCAGGUUUAGUCGGAUCCUUAGGUGAACCCGACAGGGGUAGCCGAUGGAAAACAGGUUUAUAUUCCUGUACCGGCGUAUCAAUAAAAGUGACGGAUGGACGUGGUGGCUAGGUACUGACGGAAUAGUACCUUGAGCCGAGUCUUCGGAGGAAGCGAAGCCAUAAAAUCCAUUCCAAGAAAAGCGAGAUACGCAGUCCGUACCCGAAACCGACACAGGUGGUCAAGUAGAAUAUACUAAGGCGCUCGAGUGAAUCACGGUUAAGGAACUAGGCAAAUUAGUCUCGUAACUUCGGGAGAAGAGACACCCAACGCAAGUUGGGUCGCAGAGAAAUGGCCCUGGCGACUGUUUAACAAAAACACAUGGCUAUGCUAAAUCGAAAGAUGACGUAUAUGGCCUGACACCUGCCCGGUGCUGGAAGGUUAAAAGGAGAUGUCAGCUGCAAGGCGAAGCAUUGAAUUGAAGCCCCAGUAAACGGCGGCCGUAACUAUAACGGUCCUAAGGUAGCGAAAUUCCUUGUCGGGUAUGUUCCGACCUGCACGAAUGGUGUAACGAUCUGGGCACUGUCUCAACCGUGAGCUCGGUGAAAUUGUAGUCUCGGUGAAGAUGCCGAGUACCCGCAACGGGACGGAAAGACCCUGUGAACCUUCACUAUAGCUUUGCAUUGGAGUUGGUUAAACGAUGUGUAGGAUAGGUGGGAGACUAUGAAGCUGCUUCGCUAGGAGUGGUGGAGUCAACGUUGAAAUACCACCCUUUGUUUAAUUGAUUUCUAACUAAUAGGACAGUGCAUGGCGGGUAGUUUGACUGGGGUGGUCGCCUCCGAAAGCGUAUCGGAGGCUUCCAAAGGUACCCUCAGUACGGUUGGUAAUCGUACGUAGAGUGCGAUGGCAUAAGGGUGCUUGACUGUGAGACUGACAAGUCGAUCAGGUACGAAAGUAGGGCAUAGUGAUCCGGUGGUUCCGAAUGGAAGGGCCAUCGCUCAAAGGAUAAAAGGUACUCCGGGGAUAACAGGCUGAUCACUCCCAAGAGCUCACAUCGACGGAGUGGUUUGGCACCUCGAUGCCGGCUCGUCACAUCCUGGGGCUGGAGAAGGUCCCAAGGGUUCGGCUGUUCGCCGAUUAAAGUGGCACGCGAGCUGGGUUCAGAACGUCGUGAGACAGUUCGGUCCCUAUCUGUUGUGGGCGUUUGAAUAUUGAGAGGACCUUUCUCUAGUACGAGAGGACCGGGAAGGACGCACCUCUGGUGUAUCUGUUGUGGCGCCAGCUGCAGUGCAGAGUAUCCACGUGCGGACGAGAUAAGCGCUGAAAGCAUCUAAGCGCGAAACUCACCUCAAGAUGAGUAUUCAUUGAGAGUCGUCAAAGAUGAUGACGUUGAUAGGACACAGAUGUAAAGGCAGCAAUGUCAAAGUCAAGUGUUACUAAUUACUUG